GUGAUGACAGUGGAGCUCGGGCUCGGAAGUGGCUUGCGUCAGCCUCUGAGCCGGCAGCCAGAUGCUCUUCUUGCUUGAUGGUCAUCAUCCCAGAGGUGGGGAGUCACUGUAGUUUCCACAGAGGACUGACUGUACCAGCUGCUUUGCAUACAUCAUCUAUGAUUCCCUCGGUAUCUCCGCAAGGUUGGUGUUAUUAUCCACAAGUUCCGGAUGGGAGGAAAGACUCAGAGAAGUCAAGGAACACCCUCUGACUCACACAGCUGCUGGCUGGUGCUGACUGACUCCAGGGGCCCCUCUGUCUCCUUGGUGGGUUUCUGAGUGAUCCCAGGAUGUGAAGUAAGAGGGGCCUGUUUCCUCCUGAGCCUCAGAUGUGCACACUGAUCUGUCCCUCAGACCACCAUGAAUUUAGGAUGAGGAGGGUGAGCAGGGAAGUUUCUUCUGAUGGAGGCACAAGGCUUUCCUCAAUCUAAGGUCUGCGAAGGGCAGAGCUGGCCACUGCAUGCCCUCCGCCCAUCCUGGCCAGGGACCAGCCAGCAGAGGCCACCAGCCAGCACGUGGACGUCACAUUCUCUCUAAAGAAACUGCGGUCACCUCUGCUUCUGCUUCCACCAGUCCUGAGUCUGGCCACAAAUUGAGGGCUCUCCCAGAUAAAAAUUCUGUUAAGUUACAAGUCAGCGUGACCCUGUAAGAUAAGGACUUGCUCCUUAACCCCAGAGUCAGACACCAGAAUUCCUGUCCGGCUCUACUCACAGCUUGUGCGAGAGCCCUGGAUGCAGCACCAGGAUUCCAGGCUUUGGUUUGUUAUCCAGUGCUUCCUGCCCCGAGGCGGGCUUUGUGAGGCUCGGCUGCCACAGAAGACAGGCGAGAACUUUGAACAGUGUGCCCACUCCCAUUCUUAGCUGUUAUUUUAGGUCUGCUGUGGACUGACCCAGUGAUCCCUGGCUUGUUUUCUGAUCCCCUUAUUGUGUAUUCCCAAUAAAAUGGUUAAAAAACAAAAACGAAAAAAAACCAAAACACUCUCUUGGCCAAAUAGACUUUUUUUUUUUUUUUGUAACAAAAAGAAUCAAAGUGGAAAUAAAGGAUAUCUUUCUAAGCAGAAAGAGGCUAUUUGUCACCAGGGUAGGUAACUGAGAGUUAUAGAUUUCACUCCCCAGAGAAGUUUAAGAAAAUAAGGGGCAUUGAGAUGUUUGGGGAACUUUAGUAGCGUCUGGAGACAGGUUGAAAACCAGAUACUCCUUGGCGACUUAUUUCAGCUACAGGACUGUGAGGCCUGCCUCCCUCAGGGGAGCUAACCACAGAAGGGCUCAGGUUUGGUGCAGAGGAUGGGCUAAGUGAUCUCAGGCAGUUCCCUUAG
Bos taurus (domestic cattle) is the source of this 1354-nucleotide long non-coding RNA. NCBI's taxonomy places the organism in Eukaryota, Metazoa, Chordata, Mammalia, Artiodactyla, Bovidae. The record is from Ensembl.